CCUACGGGGGGCAGCAGUGGGGAAUAUUGCACAAUGGGGGAAACCCUGAUGCAGCAACGCCGCGUGAGCGAUGAAGGCCUUCGGGUCGUAAAGCUCUGUCCUAAGGGAAGAAUACUGACGGUACCUUAGGAGGAAGCCCCGGCUAACUACGUGCCAGCAGCCGCGGUAAUACGUAGGGGGCUAGCGUUAUCCGGAAUUACUGGGCGUAAAGGGUGCGUAGGCGGCCCUUCAAGUCAGAGGUGAAAGGCUACGGCUCAACCGUAGUAAGCCUUUGAAACUGUAGGGCUUGAGUGCAGGAGAGGAGAGUGGAAUUCCGAGGGUGGGGGUGAAAGGCGUAUAAAUGGGGAGGAACACCAGUUGCGAAGGCGGCUAUCUGGAGUGUAACUGACGCUUAGGGACGAAAGCGUGGGGGGCGAACAGGAUUAGAUACCCCUGUAGUC
This 440-nucleotide ribosomal RNA is filed under the name uncultured bacterium. RNAcentral's name for it is "bacterial SSU rRNA". It matches the Rfam family "Bacterial small subunit ribosomal RNA", at positions 338 to 795 of the family's 1533-position model. The record is from RNAcentral.